RNAcentral lists this ribosomal RNA (301 nucleotides) under uncultured bacterium. RNAcentral's name for it is "partial 16S ribosomal RNA". It matches the Rfam family "Bacterial small subunit ribosomal RNA", at positions 509 to 809 of the family's 1533-position model. The record is from RNAcentral.
CAGUCGCCACGGUAAUACGAAGGGUGCAAGCGUUAAUCGGAAUUACUGGGCGUAAAGCGUGCGUAGGUGGUGGUUUAAGUCCGUUGUGAAAGCCCUGGGCUCAACCUGGGAAUUGCAGUGGAUACUGGGUCACUAGAGUGUGGUAGAGGAUAGUGGAAUUUCCGGUGUAGCAGUGAAAUGCGUAGAGAUCGGAAGGAACAUCUGUGGCGAAGGCGACUAUCUGGGCCAACACUGACACUGAGGCACGAAAGCGUGGGGAGCAAACAGGAUUAGAUACCCCCGUAGUCCCUGUCUCUUAUAU